GGGGGUGUACUGGUUUCGACGGGGGUGUGGAAACCGGAUAAGCGAGCCGCAGAUGGUCCAGCUGCGUUAAAAGGACCCGUUAAAUACAAACGCUAAAAAUACAAACAAACUCGCAUUUGCUGCUUAGUUCAGCACCGCGCAUCGACCGGAAUUCACCUGCAGGUUCCGGAUCCGGUGUCAAACAUGCAGGAAAACCUUGUGCGUGAUCCCGGCCGCAUAAGGGACCAACGGGAUAGCUGAGACGACAGCCUGCUUCCGGGCGGGCGUCAGGGCGAAUCUUAAAACGGAGGCUGCGCUCGGAGAAAGUCCUGUGGAAAUGCUUUCGGACGCGGGUUCGAGUCCCGCCACUUCCACCA
Molecule: small RNA, 356 nt
Filed under: Bacillota bacterium
Lineage: Bacteria; Bacillati; Bacillota
Description: transfer-messenger RNA
Rfam family: transfer-messenger RNA
About the family: Bacterial tmRNA, also known as 10Sa RNA or SsrA, is named for its dual tRNA and mRNA-like properties. Its role is to liberate the mRNA from a stalled ribosome. To accomplish this part of the tmRNA is used as a reading frame that ends in a translation stop signal.
Source: RNAcentral